RNAcentral lists this ribosomal RNA (229 nucleotides) under uncultured bacterium. Its description in RNAcentral is "partial 16S ribosomal RNA". It matches the Rfam family "Bacterial small subunit ribosomal RNA", at positions 568 to 796 of the family's 1533-position model. The record is from RNAcentral.
CGCGUAGGUGGUUUGUUAAGUCAGCUGUGAAAGCCCCGGGCUCAACCUGGGAAUUGCAGUUGAUACUGGCCGACUAGAGUACGAGAGAGGGAGGUAGAAUUCCAUGUGUAGCGGUGAAAUGCGUAGAUAUAUGGAGGAAUACCAGUGGCGAAGGCGGCCUCCUGGCUCGAUACUGACACUGAGGUGCGAAAGCGUGGGUAGCAAACAGGAUUAGAUACCCUGGUAGUCC